GGGGGUCACUGAGGGGAGGUUGAUGUUGCCUACGCUCCUCUGAUGAGCUCAUGGGGGUCACUGUGGGGUGCCAAAUGCUUUGUGUGUUGCUGAGAGGGCAUAAAGGUGGCUGAAGGAAUGGUGGGUGCCCUGCAUCUUGCUGAGGGGACAUGAGGGUCAUUUGAGGAGGAGGCAGGUGCCCCAAGCACUGCUGAGGAACCAUGAGGGUGUCUGAGGGGCUUUUGGGUACCCUGCAUGUAACUGAGGUGGUGGCAGAUGCCCUGUGUGCCACUGAGGGGGUCUGCAGAUCACUGAGGGGGAUGAGGGUUUGCCGGGGCUGGGUGACCUCCCUGAGGGCAGGGCUGGGACUUUGCUGUUGGCCUUUUGCCCUUGUGCUCCUUUGGCUGCCUGGAGAGAAGGGCAGCCCUGUAAGGGGGGUGAGAGCCCCUGACUCCACACGUGAGGGAGGAAAUGGAGCUCUCCUGACCCCCAGCCUGCCCUGUAAGCAGGGCAGGGGUUUUCCCCUGCCUCGGCCUUGUCCCUGCUCUCUGAGGACAGAGCGAAGCUGCUUAGUGGUAGCGUGGGCACUGUGACCUGUAGGCAGGCCUGGGUCUCUGCCUAUGCUGCAUGGCUGACAGUCCUGCUGGUGCCCUGACACUCAGGGCAUGUGUCAUGACCUUGUGGAGCCUUUAGUCCCCAGGAACAUCCCGUGGUUCCUCUACACAGGAAAUGGAUUGGAGGGCGGGGAAUUAAAUAAAAAGAAAAAGAGAAUAUUGUCUGGGAUGGUACUAUUAUCAUUAAGAGAAAUCUAAUCUUAGAAUUUGGAGAAUCUUCUCUUAGCUUUUUCUGUUGCUGACCUCAUGGAAAAGCCUCUGCCAGAGGUAAAUGCUCCCAGGCCUAGAUGAUCCCAGGUGACAUUGAUCAGAGAGUGCCUGAAGAACUGGAGGGCAGGAAUCCAGAUCCAAAGGAGACCUGAGCUGGAAAUCUGGGUCCAGUUUUCUUGGGCAGCCAGUACACUGAACCAACAACCAAACUGGAAAAAGUGAAAUGUUGCUCCAGCUCAAAUUUAUGAUAUCACAGUUAUAUUUGAUGUUGAUUUGAAGGUGAAAACAAUGAAAAAAAAAAAAAAAACCUAGGAGAAACUCAUAACACUUGUGCAAAGUGUAAUGCAGCAAAGGAAGAAGCACUGAAAAUUGCUACUGUUGAGAUUUGUUACAAUAGUCACACAAAAAGCUAGUGGACCUUUCAAUUGAAAAGUUAAAAUUAGAUGGGCAUUUCUAUUUGAGAAGGAUAAAAUUGUCAUUACAAGAAAGAAAGAUGCCAUUUCUAUUAGAACCAUUAGUUAUAUUUUUAUUUUUUUUUUAAUCCUUAGAAAUUCCAUGCUACAUGAUCUUGAAUGUUGAUAGUUCUAUUUUCUAACAAACCCAGGAGGAAACAUAUUUCAAAGACACAAACUUAAAUUUGUUUGCAAGACUGUGUCUAAACUGCAGGAAACCAGUUUGGGAGAUAUAUAGACAAUGUCCCUAUGUAUGUUUGUACUCACCUCUGAAGAAAAAUUCUAUGGAAGCCUUUUAAUUUUCUAUCAUAAAAUGGGCAGGGCUCACAUAAAGGAAAAAUCUUUUGUAUUGAAUACAUGUGAAUUGACUUCGUGACUGACCUCCCUGUAAAGCAGUGAUGACAUGGUUGUAUAUGCUAUGCCAACUUUGCUGUUUAACCUCACUGCUUCAAAAGGCUGUUUAAAAAGCCCUCAAUAAUAUUGCUUGGAGUAAUAAAUAAUAGCUACAAGGAAAAAUUUACAGUUAACAUAGUGAAAGAAAACCAUAAAAAUUUUAAAGCUUAGUAAAAGAAUUAAAGCAGUUUUCUACGCUCUUAUGAGUCCCUUCUAGUCAAAAAGAACAACAAUUAUAUAACUACUGUUAACUGCAUUAGACAAAAGCACCAGAAUAUCAUGAAUAGAGAAACCAGUGCUGUGUUAGUGAAGUUGGAAAGAAACUUUGCUCUUAUUCACUGUCUAUUCCCCUGUAAUUUUAGGAAUUUCAUAUGUAUAAUCUUCUAAACCAAAGAAAUAGAUUUAUGACUGAUUAAAUGUAUCACUCCAUCAACUGCUAAUUGACUUUUGAAAACUUGAAUAACCUCACAGUUUGCUUGUGUUCCCCUGCAGAUCUGUGUUCAGACCCUCAUUCUGUAGUCCCCUCAUUAUUGCUUCCUCUAUCCAUAUCUUCCUGCAUGUCACCCUCCUAAGGAGAAAGUUAUGGGAAUUUUUUCCAGCAGUGAGUUUCACCCUAAGAGAUGGAAAUUUGUUCUUUUAAAGGCUAAAGAAAAUUUCAUGGUUAUUAACAUGCUGGUUUUUUCAAUGCAACUUCUCUCUAUGUGCUUAUUCUAGGCAGGGAUGCAGGCAUCAGCUUUUAUUAAGCUUAUUCAAAACUUUCCAUUGUAGCACCCAGCUUGCUUAUAGACUUGAGAAAGCUUUGGUUGUUUCAACACAAAUUUGUCAAGUGCAUUUUGAAACAGUGAUUUUAUAUUUUUCUAGACUUGAAAUGCUCCAUUAAAUACUGCAGAGAUAUAGGAAAUAUGGGCAAAAUAAUAGCAGACAGAGAAAACAGUUUCACAUCUAGGACUUUCAUCUGCGUAAAUCAAGAAGGAAAAAAAGAACAAAACCUGGCCUGAAUUUUUUGUAGAGCAAAGGUAUCUUUUUUAACCCCUGAAAGAGCAGGGAAAUGCCUCACCACUCUUACUCGAGGUAGGAAACAAUGGCACAGAGGGUUUUAAGUGUUUUGAAGCUGGAUGUCCUUUGACAAGCUGGAGGAGAAGAGUCUUGGGUUUUUCUCACUCAGGAGUUGUCAGGGUUCCCAGGACACCUCCAGGAGUCCCUCACUAUAACACUGGAGACACGUGUUUCUCUAACACAGAACUUCAGGACCACAGGCAAAAUAAUUAAAUUCCAUAUUUUCCAUAAUUCAUUUUUAAGACAAUCAAGAGAUAGGCAGAAGAAAUAUCAGGGAACAAAAAUGCUGUAGAAGGGGAAGAAGACACAUGUAUGUCACAUCU
Cyanistes caeruleus (blue tit) is the source of this 3027-nucleotide non-coding RNA. The record is from RefSeq and is a predicted model, not a curated record. NCBI's taxonomy places the organism in Eukaryota, Metazoa, Chordata, Aves, Passeriformes, Paridae.